RNAcentral lists this ribosomal RNA (496 nucleotides) under uncultured bacterium. RNAcentral's name for it is "partial 16S ribosomal RNA". It matches the Rfam family "Bacterial small subunit ribosomal RNA", at positions 28 to 506 of the family's 1533-position model. The record is from RNAcentral.
GAUGAACGCUGGCGGCGUGCCUAAUACAUGCAAGUCGAGCGAACAGACGAGGAGCUUGCUCCUCUGACGUUAGCGGCGGACGGGUGAGUAACACGUGGAUAACCUACCUAUAAGACUGGGAUAACUUCGGGAAACCGGAGCUAAUACCGGAUAAUAUAUUGAACCGCAUGGUUCAAUAGUGAAAGACGGUUUUGCUGUCACUUAUAGAUGGAUCCGCGCCGCAUUAGCUAGUUGGUAAGGUAACGGCUUACCAAGGCAACGAUGCGUAGCCGACCUGAGAGGGUGAUCGGCCACACGGGAACUGAGACACGGUCCAGACUCCUACGGGAGGCAGCAGUAGGGAAUCUUCCGCAAUGGGCGAAAGCUUGACGGAGCAACGCCGCGUGAGUGAUGAAGGUCUUCGGAUCGUAAAACUCUGUUAUUAGGGAAGAACAAAUGUGUAAGUAACUAUGCACGUCUUGACGGUACCUAAUCAGAAAACCACGGCUAACUACGU